GGGCUGGUAGCUCAAUGGUAGAGCAGCGGCCUUUUAAGCCGUUGGUUCUCGGUUCGAGUCCGAGCCAGCCCACCA
RNAcentral lists this transfer RNA (75 nucleotides) under Verrucomicrobiota bacterium. Its description in RNAcentral is "Verrucomicrobia bacterium tRNA-Lys". It matches the Rfam family "tRNA". Rfam says of the family: Transfer RNA (tRNA) molecules are approximately 80 nucleotides in length. Their secondary structure includes four short double-helical elements and three loops (D, anti-codon, and T loops). Further hydrogen bonds mediate the characteristic L-shaped molecular structure. tRNAs have two regions of fundamental functional importance: the anti-codon, which is responsible for specific mRNA codon recognition, and the 3' end, to which the tRNAs corresponding amino acid is attached (by aminoacyl-tRNA synthetases). tRNAs cope with the degeneracy of the genetic code in two manners: having more than one tRNA (with a specific anti-codon) for a particular amino acid; and 'wobble' base-pairing, i.e. permitting non-standard base-pairing at the 3rd anti-codon position. The record is from RNAcentral. RNAcentral also lists the same sequence under 1 other name. Lineage: Bacteria; Pseudomonadati; Verrucomicrobiota.